Long non-coding RNA from Pteropus alecto (black flying fox), 6349 nucleotides. RefSeq lists it as uncharacterized. NCBI's taxonomy places the organism in Eukaryota, Metazoa, Chordata, Mammalia, Chiroptera, Pteropodidae. The transcript is spliced from 6 exons. The record is from RefSeq and is a predicted model, not a curated record.
CGAGAAUUAAUUAGAAAACCUUAAGACAGUGCCUGGCAUUGUAGUAAGGAUUAUGUAAUUGCUGAAUAUAAAAGUGAAAUUCAUGGAUCUGUCCCAGAAGUAUUCAUUACAUGCCUACCAAAGGGCAGGCACUGCGGGCUGCUCUGGAUGACAAGGCGUCUGCCCUCAUGGAGCCAACAUUCUGGUUGGAGAAAGGAGACGAUAAAAAGGUGAAAUAUUAAGAAGACAAGAUUACUUCAAACACUGAUCGUUCUCCUGGAGAAAAUAAACUGGGUGAUGAAAUGAAAUCUGAGGCGAGCUUAACAUGAUAAAGACAGCUGCUAUCGUCUCCACACAACCUGUUUUUCAAUGAUUACAGUGAAAAUCCCUUAAGGUAACUCAUUGUUCUGGAUUGUCAUGAACUCAGUGUGAUCUGCGGUGCCUGAAUGAUUUGCUCACCCCUACGGCCAGGGGGAUAGGUCAGUGUCACAGGAGCACUAUGGAGAGAAUGGCGAUGAAGGGCUUUCCCAAAGGAAAGUUGAAGUGUUCCCAGCAGAACAAAAGGGGAUGGAUUCUGAGCAGGUCCAGGGAGAGAGCAUCUCAUUGGCCUGGCUUAUAUCACCUUCUACCCACAGAACGCUCUGGGGCAAGGAGAGGGGUUAUCUGAUGAUCUCCAUGACUCUAUAAUAGGAAGCAGAAGCUGCUUCUCACCAAGAUGCACACAAUGGGAAAAGGCAAACUUCAAGGUGGUAUGAGAAAAGAGCAGAACUACUGCACAGCCAUUCCUUGGUAUCCGAUGCUGGCAAAAGACUUAUGAGAUCUCAUGAACAGCUAGUAAGUAGUGGGACAAGACUCCAAAUCAAGCACUUCUCCAAUAUGAGUGUGAGUUGAAUAGAACAACAGCUUUGCCUUUCCUACACUUGUUUCCAGAGCAUCUUAAGAAAUUGACCCAUAGCAAGAACUCUGAAUAUUCAUUAAAUGUUGAAGUUGCAGAUUGAAUCCAGACCACGAAAAUAAGCACUACAUCAGAUAUCUAGAUGAAAUGAAAAUCAAGCCACUAUCCCAUGGAUACUGUAAUCCGUUUCCCAGUUCUUUCUUUUUUGCAUUCAUGUUUAUGAGUGUGGGCAUUGUGUAUCUGUGUGUGUCAGUAUUAAUUGUGUACUGAUUUAAUGAAAUUCCAUGUCUGUGGGAGAACACUCAGAGUACUUUCUCCAGCCUUACUAGCAUGGAGUCUGAAAAUAUUUAAAGCCCUAAAUGUCUUUGAAAAUUAUUUUUAAAACAACAUAUAAAGGUGAUUAAAAAUAUGAGCUCUUGAUCUGGCAGCAUAGGUUAAAAUCUCUAUAAAUUCUAAUUUUCUAGUUACUAUAUCUCUUCUUAUGUUUCUCAUACACAUAUAAGCAUUUACUUUUCUUUGAUUACAAUGUUUAUAUGUUUCAUUUCAUUUCUAAUUUUACUGGUUUCAGUUUCCAGUUGAAUGUUGAAUAGAAGCAAUAAUAGCUAGAAUCAUUGUCCUGUCCUUGAUUUUAAAGGCAAUGCUUUCAAAUAAAUUACAAUAGUUGCUUUAUAUUAUUAUUAGAUUUCUAUUACUAACUGUACUGGUUGUCAAUUUAUUUCCUCUCAGCUCCAAGUACAUACCUUAUUGCCUACUCUGUGAAAAUGGAGAUGGGCCCUUUAUAUAUUUUUGCUUUGACAGUUGGCAUGUUGCUAAACUUUGACAGUAGAGGGCAAUAAAGAUAACAUGGGUUAUCCCUUCUGGUGAGGAGCGCUCAUUGGGCAUACUCCUGCAGCUCACUGGGGUUCUCCAGUGCCAGCUCCUUCAGUACAGGUAGCUUUUCCAGUGUCCAGCUCUUGAAGCACAAUAGCUUCUCCAGGGCAAGGCUCCUGUAGCACAGGCAGCUUCUCUAACAUGAGGCUCCUGGGGUACGUGCAGCUUCCCAGCAUCCAGCUCCUGCAGCACAGGCUGCUUCUUCAGCUCCAGGAUCCAGCAGUGCAUGGAGGUCAGCAGCAACCAGUGGCUAGUGGCAUCCAUGGGCAGCCACCUUGCAUUGUUUCAUUGCAUAGUUCCUCCAGCAAGACAUCCCUUCAAGAAUGGCUUUCCUCAAAGUCCUAGAGUAGGCUUUUGGCAAUUUCUAGAGGGCAGAUUUCCAGCAAAUUCCACUGGUAUAACACUACAAUAACUUCUCAGCCCUCUUUUUAAGGAAAUCUGGAUCUCAGUUGGGGAUAGAAGGAGGAGGGUCUCUUUUGGGCACUGUAGCUCAACCCUAGAAGCAAUGCUGCUUCUUAUAUAUGCUACAUUCUUUAGCAUUCUCUUUAUUUCUCACUAAUCAAUCCCUCACUUAUCCCAAUAGUUUAUUAUAGUUAAAAAUUCUUUGUAUUAAACUUCCCCGGUUCAAAUUGCUGUGUGGUUUCUGUCUCCUGAUUAGAUCCUGACUGAUAGAUCAGGUUAAGUAAAUUUUCUCCUAUAAUUAUUUUGAUAAAAUUUUUAUUGUAAAUAUUAUUAUGAAUGGACUCUGAAUUUAAUCAAAGGCAUUUUCUACACAGAUUGAGAUAAUUAUUUUUUAAAUUUGAUAAUGUGGUGAUAUAUAUUAAUUUUUUAAAAAAUAUGAAAACAUUCUUUCACUUCUUGGAUAAAUCCAACACAGCCAUAAUUUUUUUUAUGUACUGUUAUCUUUGGUUUGCCAAUAUUUUCCUAGAAUUUUUGUGUGUAUGUACAAUACACACAAGGUUGAGCUGUAAUUUUCCAUUCGUUUGUCCUUACCUGGUAUUAGUUUCAAGCUUAUGCAAACCUCAUGAAAUGUCUUGGAAAGAGUUAGACCGCAAUUAUCACUCCAAUUCCUUUUCUUUCUGGCUGCCUUUUUCCCUUUCCUUGAGCAGCUGCUAUAGAAUCUCUGUUUAUUCUCUCUGCCUUUGCCUUAGAUCUCCAUCACCUUUAAUUUGGGCUAUAACGAAGUCUUCCUCCGUUUCCCAACUGUGUUCUCCCUUACCCAUAUAGCUCUCCGAGUUAACACUCUAAACAUCAGCCUUAGAUAGUGCUCUAUUUUCUUACAUAAUAAUACUCCUGAAAACUUACCAAAAGUAAAUAUGUACAAGCCACCAAUGGAAUUAUGUACUAUAAGGAAAACUUUCUUGCUGAAGGACUAAAAAUUGAUCACAAAUUCCCCAUUGAGAUUCAUCUUUUAUAUAGUCUUUAGCAUGUGUUCUUUCACUUUGUUUUUUUCCUUCCUAAUUCCCCAUGUAGUCAACAGGCUUAGGUUUGAUGAGUCUCUGUGUUCAGCCUAAUGAGUUCCAUCUUUAUCUCAAGUUUAUUAAGUUCAUGAGAUCUUUGCUUGUUAUCACUAAUAGCACUUGAGGGGGGACAAUAUUUCCAUUUAUAAAACAAUAAAAGUAAAAUACAAUAAAACAUAACAUAUAAUUUUUUAUAAUUUCUGUGGUCAAAUGCCAACAUACUUAUAUAUUAUACGGCAAGAACUACAACCAUAAAAGUAACUUAUUACAUGGGAUACAAAUAUGUAAAUUUAGAACAUAAAAGGCAGUUUUAGGGAUUUAAAAUAUAAUUUCUAAAAGUGAGCACAGUUUGAAAAUAUCUAAAUGAUCAAGGGCUCUAUUUACAAAAACUUUUGGUGUUUAUUAUUCCCUUAAAAAUAAGUCUAAACUUUCGAGCGUGUCAUUCAAUACCAUCUGCAACGCUAGCUUACUUUUCAAGCUAGAGCCUUCAGCAUUCUCUUGCUUCCAUUACCCCCAUGUACCAUUCACCAUUGUCUAACAUGCUUGGUUUUCAUGCCUGUUUCUGUACUCAUGACUUGCUCUCAAUCUGGCUUUACCAUCUCAUCUUCUCUUCUUUCAAAGUCACUCUAAUUUUUCCAAGUCUUCUGGAAACACUAACUCCAACAUGAAUCUCUCUUCGCCCUUAACCAUCCCUAGAACAAAUUUGUUUUCUUUUAUGUUUCCAGCAUAUUUUAUUCUUUUGAAACUGUAUCUUUUGAUUGGAGAUAACUUUACCAGUUUAAGGUACAGUAUAAAUCAAGUCUCCUAUUAAUAUUUCAAUUAAAUAGCUUGAGUCAUCAUUUAACCUCUUCCAACAAUUCCCUCUUGCUCCCAGGGUCUACAUUCUAGAACAACUCUGAGAAUAAUAAAAGUUCUAAUAACUGCUGACACUUGCGUAGUACUUACAAUAUGUGUUUUCCAUACAUUGAUGUAUGUGGCUAUGACAACAACCCUGUGAGUAGAUAUUAUUAUAAUGCCUUUUAAUAUAGUAGGAUACUGAGAUAUAGAAAUGUUAAGUAAUUUGCUCAAGGUCACACAGCUGGCCUCUAUGGCCUGGGUGAAUCACUCAGAGCUUUACAGUGAGAGGAGCUAUAAGCAAAAGGUAAAGAAACUGGUUUUGUUAGUAACUGAAAACCAGGUCGGCACAAGCAGCUUUGGGGCCCAGAUGACAUAUUGUGACACAGUAAGAGAAAGAGACUCUCUUCUGACUUCUGAGUGGCUCUCAUCCUGGCCUUAGUGCAAUGAGGACUCAGGAGGAGACAGUGGCUCAAAUACCUUUGAGUGUUCCAUCUGAGCAGCACUGGAAGCCAACAAUCAGCACAUUUAUCAGCCUACUCAUAAAGUACGUAGCAGCGCUGACACAGCGAAGGCUUCAGUUUGGAGGAUAUUGAUGAGAAAAGCACUGGAUGUUAGAAGUGUUGGGGAGAUCUCUCUGGGGAUGUCAGUAACUAGAUGAGACUCAGAUAAACUACAAGUCCUCCAUAAUGAGCAGCUGAGCAAGAGACAAUGAAAUCUGUAUCGUUAUAGGAUGGGAGACUCCCAAGUUCCUGUAGUUUUGUGACAUCUAGUAUGACUUUGGAUACACAGAUGAUUGUAUUAUCUCUCAUCUAUAAUUAUCUUUCAAGAUAUUAUCAUUUCUAUCUCAGGUAUCUAAGGAAGUAAAAUUCAGAGAAAUAACUAACUUACUCAAGACCAGGAUUCUUAUAGGUAGCAGAGCUGGGACAUAAAAACAGCUAAUUCUGACUCUAAUGUUCACAUUCUCUCCACUGUGCAUACUGUCUUCCUGUAAUGGAUUAAAAAAAGAAAGAAGAAAAUUGUAUCUUCUGUUCGACACCAGGAAAAGCAUUCCUUUCUCUAUACUCGGCAUUUCUCAUGACCCAAAAAUUAGAAUUCAUUGAUAAUUUCAUAAAAUGAAGUCCCCAGUGAAGAGUUCUGUCCUCACCUGAGUUAGAUAAACCUCAGUAUGCUGCUGCAAUCUCAUAAUUCUCAAUGUGGUUUCCCUUAGACAAUGUGAUUUCAGAGGUAGCUAUCACUUCUGAUGUGUGAAUAAAUGCAUCAUAUACCACGGUUAUUCACUAUCAGUUCAUAUGGCACACAGAUGAGAGCAGGACCUUCCUUUUCCCACAGGCCAACCUCACAGAAGUACUUUCUUUAACAUUUUCAACAAAAUGUGCCUCUCAAGACAUUAUAUUCACCAUAAAUCUGAACAUUAUCCUACUUAAGAAAUUCAGUGAACCUCUUAUUAAAAAAAUUAAAUUCUAUCUCAAAAGUAGAAAGGAGAAAAGGUGUUAUAAUAUCAUUGAUGGAAAUAUAAAUCAAACAGAGGACUCUAUUGAAUUUGUAUUGAGUUCAUAUUAGUUCUGAUGGAAUUAUUAAUUUUAUUUGUCAUAGGAAAUGUGAUCAUGCAUCAGAUUUAAUUCUGGAUAAUUUACAACACCAUAAUCCAGAGGGAAAAGAAGGAGGAACAUUGCUUAUGGGCAAAGUGAAUGGUUUCACUGAGAACCUGUCUGCUGAUUUUAUGUGGGUCAGGGAAGCAUAUGAUUCAUUUGGGCACCUUGGCUGAAGGUGUGACUCCCCAGGGUGGGCUACUUUAAUCUAUGUCUACUUCUGUUUCUCUAUGAGCCUGCUUGAAUUGAUUUUGUCAAGCUGGUGAAGUGAUGCCAUCCUCCCCUUCCUUGUACUAAAUUCUGACUGGCUAAUAAUCAGCAAAGUUUCAGAAAAUGAAACCCCCAUGGUGGAAUUAAGAAUUUAAAUCUCCAUGCUACACACUUAGUGUUUUGAUUGGAAUGCACGAAUGUAACAGAUUUAUAUAAAUGUAUAAUUUUAUAAACUAUAUGUAUUAGCAGGAGGGGAGGGGAAAGAAAACAACUUUGUCUGGGAGUCACUCUCUUAUAGUUAUGUAAAAGUUUCCGAGCUAACUUCCUGAAGGAAAAUGAAGAAUAUAUUUUGCCAAGAAUGUUUUCCUCCACUAUUUUAAUCCCAAUAAGUUCUAUGUGUCUCAAAAACAAAUUCAUUUUUCUCUAACGUCUUUAAUUUGUUGAUGCUCAUGAUUUUCUCAAUAUUAAUUUGAAUCAAGGUGUGAAAUAAAACAUUAGUUUCAAAAAGA